AGAGUUUGAUCAUGGCUCAGAAUCAACGCUGGCGGCGUGCCUAAUACAUGCAAGUCGAACGCGAAAGUGGAGCAAUCCAUGAGUAGAGUGGCAAACGGGUGAGUAACGCGUGGGUGACCUGCCUUCGAGUGGGGGAUAACGUUCCGAAAGGGACGCUAAUACCGCAUGAUAUCCUGCUUUUUAACAGGCGGAGAUCAAAGCCGGGGAUCGCAAGACCUGGCGCUUGAAGAGGGGCCCGCGUCCGAUUAGCUAGUUGGUGGGGUAACGGCUCACCAAGGCAACGAUCGGUAGCCGGCCUGAGAGGGCGGACGGCCACACUGGGACUGAGACACGGCCCAGACUCCUACGGGAGGCAGCAGUAGGGAAUUGUUCGCAAUGGGCGCAAGCCUGACGACGCAACGCCGCGUGGAGGAUGAAGAUCUUCGGGUCGUAAACUCCUUUCGAUCGAGACGAAUGGCUUCCGGGUGAACAAUCCGGAGGAAUGACGGUACCGAGAGAAG
Molecule: ribosomal RNA, 500 nt
Filed under: uncultured Acidobacteriaceae bacterium
Lineage: Bacteria; Pseudomonadati; Acidobacteriota; Terriglobia; Terriglobales; Acidobacteriaceae
Description: bacterial SSU rRNA
Rfam family: Bacterial small subunit ribosomal RNA
Source: RNAcentral